This 1198-nucleotide long non-coding RNA is filed under the name Homo sapiens (human). Its description in RNAcentral is "HSALNT0070775". The record is from RNAcentral. Lineage: Eukaryota; Metazoa; Chordata; Mammalia; Primates; Hominidae.
AGAUUAUACAGGAGAUUGAAGGUGAAAUUAUUAAAAGGCAUUUACUAAUUGCCCUUUUAGCAGAGUCCAUUGUCAUGCACAGCUUCUCCAAAAUAAGCAGGAAGUGAUUAGUUACAGAAGGAGCCUCAGAUAUUGCUCACAAGCCUCCUGCAGUGACUAUGUGGUGUAGUUAAAGUCUAGAAAUUACAAAUGUUUUGUGGCCAACACGAAACUUAUCUGUGAGUCAUUGCCUGGGGGGCUUACUUGGACAAGGGCUGAGAGAAUUACCAGUAGCUUGAACAGCUUAAGGGCGGGACCAAGUACAGAAUGAAGCUCAGACUCUGAAGAAUUUGCACUACUAAGGUGUGUACACAACAUGAAGGUGGCCAUCUGCAAGCCAAAAAGAGAGCCUUUACCAGAACCUGACCAUUGCUGGCACCCCAAUCCUGGAUGAUCCAGCCUCUAGAACUAUGAGAAAUAAAUUUCUGCUGUUCAAGCAACCCAGUCUAAGAUAUUUUUGUUGUAGCAGCCUGAACUGCCUAAAGAAACUGUGGUCUUGUAAAUUUCUCCAACAUCAUCUCAAAUCACUCUCCGAAUUGCUCUUGUCCAGGCAUGUAGGUCUCCCUGUGUUCCCAGAGCAUGAGAAUUCACUUCCUUCCCCAGAGGCUCUGAACUCUCUAUCUCCUCUGUCUUAAUCAUACUCUAGUUCUUCACCUACCUGGCUCCUUCUCAUCCUUCAGGUAUCUUACAUAGCACCUCCAGAAUGAGCAACACAUUUCAUGACCAUUCUGUCUAAAACCAUACCUUUCCUGUUUACUCAGUUACCAUAAUUAAUGAUUUUAUUUCCUUCACUAAACUUUUCACAAUCUGUAACUGUUUUAUUUUUAAUUAUUUAAUAGGGCAUUGCUUGUCUCCAACAUAUAAAUAUAAGUUUCAUAACUGUGUAAGUAUCUUCUGUGUCUUUGUCACCCUGCUAUUCUUUCUGCCAAUUACAGUGCAUGACACAAAGUGUUAUUUAAAAAUAUUUGUUGAAUGAGUGAAUUGUAUGGAUAAGCUCUUAGAAAAACAAAUAUACAGGUAUGUGCAUGUGUGUACUGUGAGUUAAUCAUACUAUUUCUCAAUAAGUAGACCAAAAGAAUCUUAUUUACAGAACUCUAAGGCAUUUUUUCACAAGUAUUGCUAACUUAUGACUAUAAAACACCAUGUUGUUGCCCUUGAG